UACGGAGGUCUCAAGUGUUGUUCGGAUUCAUUGGGCGUAAAGGGUGCGUAGGUGGCGGGGUAAGUCAGGUGUGAAAUCUCGGGGCUCAACCCCGAAACUGCACUUGAUACUGCCUUGCUUGAGUACUGGAGAGGAGAUUGGAAUUUACGGUGUAGCAGUGAAAUGCGUAGAUAUCGUAAGGAAGACCAGUGGCGAAGGCGAAUCUCUGGACAGUUACUGACACUGAGGCACGAAGGCCAGGGGAGCAAACGGG
Molecule: ribosomal RNA, 253 nt
Filed under: uncultured bacterium
Lineage: Bacteria
Description: partial 16S ribosomal RNA
Rfam family: Bacterial small subunit ribosomal RNA
Source: RNAcentral